UACGGAGGGUGCAAACGUUGCUCGGAAUUGUUGGGCGUAAAGCGCACGUCGGCGGACCGCUAAGUCGGAUGUGAAAGCCCUCGGCUUAACCGAGGAAGUGCAUUCGAAACUGACGGUCUUGAGUAUGGAAGAGGGUCGCGGAAUUCCCGGUGUAGAGGUGAAAUUCGUAGAUAUCGGGAGGAACACCAGUGGCGAAGGCGGCGACCUGGGCCAAUACUGACGCUGAGGUGCGAAAGCGUGGGGAGCAAACAGG
This 253-nucleotide ribosomal RNA is filed under the name uncultured bacterium. Its description in RNAcentral is "partial 16S ribosomal RNA". It matches the Rfam family "Bacterial small subunit ribosomal RNA", at positions 524 to 776 of the family's 1533-position model. The record is from RNAcentral.